GGGGAGGGGGCUGGGGCGAGCGUGGUCCUGGGGGUGGGUGGCGGCUGCGGUGAGCGGGCCACAGCCUUGGGCUCCCCUCAGUCCCGGGCCCCCACUGCUGGGGAGCUGCCAUUGUCUGGCUCUUCUCUCUUAAAAUGGCUGCCUGUCUGCCUUCCUCUCCUUCCCUCCUUCAGCCUUUGUGUUGGGUUUUUCCAGAGGUGUCUGCUCCUCUUUUUCCUCUCCCCUGGUCCCUUCGAACUCCAGGGGUCUUGAUGGGGGUGCGGGGCAGAGUGUGCGGGGAAGGGCCUGGCCGGGGGUGAGGGGGUGAGGGGGCGCUGGGGGCUCAGGUUAGGAGUGUAGGCAGUGGUAGGAGCCCAGGAGUUGAAUGAACGUUUCUUUGCUCACCUGCCGCUCCUCUCCGUCCCCCGGCCUUCCUCUGGGCCGCCCCCCAUCUGUGCUUUCAAAGAGGGCCCCUAGAGCUCGAGGGGACCUCGAGGGGAGGGCAGGGGACUGCUUGGGAGCUGCUAGAGGCCGGCUGCGGUUCACCUAGGGCAGCCCGGUCCAUCUCCUGUCUUAGGCUCCGCCGGCCCAGUGGCCUGGGCUUCUCCCUGGAAGUGCUGGUAAACAGCUGAGUGAUUGGAGUAGUAAGUGCAGAUUGCUUUGGUUUGGGAUUUGAAUUAUGGAGGUAAAAUCCUUCUGUCAAAGCCAGGAGACAGUUGGUCUUAGGUUGACAUCCUAUCUGUGAUCUGAUUGGCUCCCCAUCUCCUGCUCUUGGCCAUUUAUAAUUGCCUCUGAUGUAAUGGUACAACAAUCCUGAUGAGCUCAUAAACUUUUACACUCUGCUUUUCUGCCAGUGAUAACCCAAACUAUCGCUGCCACUAUCUGCCUUUUAUUCCAGAGCUGAAAUUGGCUGUGACCUUGAGGAGGGAGGUUUAAGUAGCAAUACUGUAUCAGCAAGAGCAAAGCCUCAGACAGCCUGCCCUUGUUACAUUGUGCCCAAACAAAAGAGGAGGCAAUGGCAUUUUGCUUGUACCUUGGAUUUAUUUUGCUUGUUAUGUUUUAUGCAGCCUGAAAUGAAUUCUGUGUUGUCAGAACAGUAGCUGAGUUUUUUCUCUACAAUGGGUUUGCUGUUUGUUUUGGUUUUGUGACUUUCCUGAUGGUAUAAAUGACUUCUUUGAUGGCUCUGAAGAUGCAUUUAUCUUGAGUAAUUUUGACACUGGUUGCUUUGCAGAAUUGAAAUGAUUUUACUGGGCUUUUUAUUGAGUGGCAAAUGUGGGAUCUUUAUGGGGGGCCAGAAAACAGUUUUUGUUAUUUUUUUUAGAACUGGGAGCUUUCUGAGGAAUUUUAUAUUAGGUUCAAGCGGUCUGUUUUAAGGAAGACUGGCCUCAUUCUUUGUUUACAUGUUGAAUCUUGUUAACACUUUCUUUUGUUAAUUGAACUUUGGAAUAGCAGCUUAAUUUAAAGGGAAGCUGGUGUCUUUCAUGAUCUUGAGGGACUUUCUCCUAAAGGCUUGGUUUGGUGAAAUUGUUUUUUUCCUGGAAUAACAAAAAGUCUAGUUUUCUGUUUUGUCAUCAGUCAUUUUAGAGCUUUGAAAUAGAGACUGGCCAGUUUAUUCCUUUGCAUUUUAAUGUAUGUUCCACUUUUUUUCUUGUCUUCCAAGAUAUGAAGAUACGACCUAGAAUGACACUUAAGAUUUGCUUAGAAAUUGCAACUUCUGAGUACCUUGUUACACUAUUCUAUCUUGUUUUAUUUUGUUGCUUUUCUUCCAUCUUCAUCAUGCUCUGUCAGCAGUGCUUUUGGUCAGGGAUAUUGAGUAUUCUGUGGAGUCAUACAUGUUUUCAAAGAGGGGGAAGCUCCAUUCAUCCCCUCCCAAACCCCUUGCGCUUUUGUGCUAGGAGGAAAUUUUGUUCACUUACUAGCUGUAUUCCCAGCCCAUCCUAGAGCUACUUUACUACUCUUUUGAGCUGGGGAUUUUGAAAUUAGCUGUGUUAGAUGGUGGGCUUGGAGCUCUGUGCCUUGAUUCUACAUCUUCCAUGAUGUUCUGCAUCUGGACAAGAAAUAGGGAAAUGUUACAUUGUUUUUCUAGUGUCUGGAGGAAAAGUUUUGUCUUAAAAGACAGCAUCCUCUUGUCUCUGGGUCAUCCUAUAGUCUGAACCUCUUUCCUCUCAUUCCCCUUGUUUUGUUUGGUUUUGGCUGAAAAUUUUACUUUUCUUGAAAACUAUUAGAAUAAGUCAUUUGGGGUAGUAAGUCAGGGUUCAUUUAAAAGCAAAAUUGAUUGGAAUUCUGCUGGUUUGGAAAUAUUUAGUCAAAGGUUUUAAAGAAAAAGCCAACUCUUUUGGUAUAAUGAUUUUUGUUUUUCAGUCAGUAAAUUAUGGAACACUUUCUGUGUAGAUGAUAGGAGAAUAGAUACAGUCCCUGUUUGGAUGCCUGUCUGUGCUGCCUUUGGAUGAAUUUUCUGAUCUCUUUUAUUAUCACUAGACCCACACAACAUAGAUUCCUAAUUAAUUUCAGCUCAGUUGUCUACUCCCCAGAGACCCAGGGAAUGGGCUGGUGAGCAUUCAGUUGUGUAAGAGACAGUGCAGCUUCCACUUCUGUGGACUGCUUCAGGUGUGUGGUAGUAGUCUAGGUGAGGGUUGUAGGUUCAGACUUUGUUCUGAAUUUCUCUUUGCUACUUGAUAAACCUCUUUUCAGACCAUGAUGCUCUACUCUUCAACAUUCUUAAAUUAAAAAGUCUUGCUCUGUCUCCAUCUUUUCCUGGCGCAGUCUUAGAUUAAGAAUAUUUUGCAGAGACUUAAUUAACACAGCUAAGGUGAUAACGUUUUCAUUUGACUCUGCGCUUAUGAAAUAAAGUUUAGGUAAGUGUGUGUAUUGUGGCUAUGUCUUUUUCACAGGACCUGGGAAGAUCUUAGACAAACUUUUACUUUAUUCCUUUUCAUAAGUAGUGUAUCUCAAGUGUUGAAUCCCGGUACUGAUGAAAUAGUUUUAGAUUACUUACACACAUGAAGUUGAUUUAAGGCUUUUUAUUGGGACGCUUUUUAGCAAUAAUACUUUGAGAGUAAUACCAGUUUACCAAGGUAAAAAAUAAAAUACAAUAAAUAGUCCAGGAACAAGUUGGAUUUUAUUGUAGAAGUUUGGUUGUUAGUUUCUACUACGGAAACAUCAAAUGAUAUUUCUGACUCCUGGGAAACAGAUACAGGAAUCCUAGAUUUAUUAUGGGAAUGCCUACUGGCAGAAAUUCUAGGCUGGCUGAAAUACAGGACUCUUGGAGCUCUCUCAAGUAGGAGGGACCAGGAAAACCACACUGAGAUGGCACUUUAGUUGUGGGGGUUUCAUGUUUCUCUACUGUUCAUGAGAGAGCUGGGGUGAUGAGGAUUGAGAUGGUGGUGUGAGAACAGAGAAAGCAGCCAGGACCAGGUUUGGCUUCUUGUGUAUUGGGCCCUGUGAGGACUUUUUAGGUUCCUUUCUUUGUGUGUGACAUGAGUAACCAUGACAAGCAGCACCUGCUGAAACAGGAUGUCUUGGAUUGCAUUAAACAUUAAUAUGUUGGAUUGACUCCUGUAGGUGUAAUGUCUACAGUAGACCUUUUGCAAAGAGGUUAGUGAACUUUUUUAGAAUGAGGGAAUAGGCUAACAAAGUAAUAGGCAGGGCUCUUUCCUGUUCCCAUCCCUCAAAAGGUUGUAUUGAUUGGCUUCAACUCUCAAAAUUCUAGAAGCAACUGAAGCUUGUAAAUAUGGUAAAAAUGUGGUAUUCAAAUAUAUUGGCACCGAGUAGUUCUUUUCUGCCAGUGAGCUGUAAUACCUGGGGCUUGAAUGGAGUCCUGAUUCCUGUGGCUUUUAUCUCUGGGUUUUUCCUUGUUUAGAUUGGUCAUUAUCAUUACUGACGCACACUUACGUUGUUAUUACUGAUGCAUACUUGAGUUGUGUGUUGCGUUAGUGGUAAAGAGCACAGGACUCACAACAGGAGGAGGAAGGAGGAGGCUUAGGUUCCACAUACAGCUCCAGAUUAAGCUGUGUGACCCUGGGCAGGUCAUUUGCUUUCUCUAUUUUUCAUUUUCUCCCUCAUCAAUAAAAUGAAGUUGGUCUGCAUGGCCUUCUCACUCUAAGAUGCUACAUAUCUGUGCUUCCAUAGCUGGCUUGUUAUGAAGGCAGCUUUCUGUACAUAAAUCAGGGGUCUUGAGACCAUCUUUCUUCCCCUGGACUGAAGGAACUCAAAGCUAUUUUCUCCUGGGAUUCACAGGAACAAGCUCUGAACAGUUGGGUGCCAUUGUGGUCUGUAGACUUUUACAGAAAAAGCUCUACCAGACUGUUGCCUUGAAACUGUUAAUCUGUUUGUCAUUAGUCAUUCCACCUGGCUGGUGGUUUUAAAACACUAAAUAGUCGUUGGAAAGUUAGGUAGAUUUCAUUAAAGCAAGACUUGAAAAAUAGUUGCUUCAGGAUCCCCAGGAGGCUUUUGCACUUGGGGUUGGGGUGAGGAAUGGAUAUUCAUAAGUUCAGUGUUGAUAUUCUGCUGCUUUUGGGGAGGGGUAGGGAGAGAGAGGGAGCAUUAAGCUCUCCAGACUCCUGGUGUUUGGGCAGGUCUAGGUCUGGUUUGGGCAGUUGGUUGUAAUCUGAGUGCCUGGACUUGCCCUGUAAGUUUUGCUGAGAGAGAAGCAAAUGUUCCUGAGACUGGAAGAGGAAAAGCUGCGUUUCAGGGUCAAUUUCAUAGGUGCAUUUGUUGUUUCUCAUCGCUAUGGUUUAAAAAACUACAUGGUGUGCUUUGCACGUGGUCCUGGAAAUGCUAUUCUUUCUCUUCUCCAGCACACCUGAAUUUCCAUUCUUUCUCUUCCUGGCUUAGUAGUUUAGAAGUGUAAUUUAGGUAUAUUAGAGGAAGGAAGCUUCCCUUUAUAAAGGAGGGAAAAGGGUAGAGGGAACAGUGUUUGAUAAUUCUGUGCUUGACACAGCAUCUUCUAUCGUCUCUGAAGGAACCAAAUGUUUCAGAGCUUUGUGUAAAUACUUGCUGAGCUGUCAAUAUGUACCCAGGAGGUUUCUGUAGUAAGAUGUAAACUGUUCUAUAGAAUGUUUGACAGGCAAAUUAAUAAACAGUUUUCAAGCAAAGAUAAUGCUAGCCUCCUCAUGUGGUGGAGUAAAAUAACAUUGGGGAAAAAGACUUGGGGAUAGGAAAAGGGUAGUGCUGGGGGGCAGUGAGUGUGGAGAUAAGAAGUGAUCUAAAAAAAAAUUGAAAUGGAAAGAUGCUGCCCUGGUAGUGAAACCUCUGUGGCCCUGGCUGCGUGCUAAGUUCAGGGCAUGUGGUAUCCUGUUAAAGUCAAUUGCAGUUUCAUAGUGAAAAUAGAAGUUUGGAAAGAAGAUCCUGACUGUCAAUAGUAAGGUAAGUAUUACCCCAGACACUUGGCUUAUGAGACUUUGAGGUUUAAAGGGUAGCUUGGUGAGAUUAUUUUUGGCUUGGGUUUGCAUUUCUGGAAUAUUAGAAAGGAGAAAAAAGAUACUGCAACUUGAGUGUGAUCUUUAUCCUCAAUUUUGCUGUUGUGCUGGGGAUUAUAAGUCCACUACCCAAUGGCCUGGGUUUAUUUAUACAGUUUUUACUGGACUUCUGUGUAUCACUUAUGAUAAAAUUAAUAUGCCUUUACACUCUGUUCCUGGGUCAGUACAAAGUCCAAAUAUUUGGGGACUCACUACAUCUUACUUGAAGGAUUAUGUGAGUAGAUACAGUCUUUGUUUUUGAAAUUGCCAUUUUAGGAUUAAAAACAUAUCUGGGUUCCUUCAGUGACACAUUCUUUUUAUGGAAGAAGAAGAAGAAUCUAUGAAUAUUUUAGCUGUCUGUCUGUGGUCCUCUUCUUUGGUAGCCUUGUGAGAUGACCAGAUUUGCCUUCUCAGAAUGUCUUUUUUAACUAGAUUCAUUGAUUCUGACACCAGUUUUCUUUAUAAGAAGUGUUUUUUACACCAGAGUCCUGGAAGUGCCCUUUUGACUUAGCUGUUUAUAUAGUAGCAGGGAAUAUGAAUGUAAUUAUGGUCCUGACUAUGAUUUUUAGGUUCAGCUAACUUACUACCAAAGGCUAUCAGCUUGUUUUAAUACAAAACACAAAAACUUGGAUUGGCACUGACAUAGGUUGCUUAAUAUUGCAUGGUCCUUUCCCAGUAUGUUGGUAGUGAGGGUAUUAGGAACUUCAGACUUAUUGCUGAGAGCAUAGUUUCUAAGUCAGAGAGAUCAGGAAAUUCCAAUGGGGAUGGGAAAUAGCCCUAUGUGAUUACACCAGCUAGGUACUAGGAAGAGAUUUAAAAGGUAGAAACAAUAUCUCCUUCAGAGGCAUUUAGUUUUCUUAGGAAAGCAUGCUUAUGUGCACACAUCUGGAAAACUUGAAAAGCAAGGUUUCAUAAAUGGAUGUAGACCACACUAAUUAUGUGAGCUGAAGGAAUUAGAGGAAAAGGUUCAAUCAGUUUGGCAGGGUUAACCUGGGACAGCUUUUCAGAGGCUUUUUUUGUGAAGCUAAAUGUUCAAGAAACUUAGAAUACUAAUUUGCCUUUUCAUAAUGCUAUUCUUAAGUUCCAUGGGCUUGAUAGAAUCCACAUUGCACAUCCAUCUCCAGACCAGUAGCUGUCUCAGUGUUCCAAUGACUUUGAGAAUUUGGACUCUAACCAUAAAACUCCCUGAAAGAGUGGUUCCAGGGUCUUAGUGGUUCUUGUGGUCAGGUAGAGCCUUUGGUACAGACUGUUAAGUUCUUGGCUAGUUCAGGGGCACUUUUCUAGUAAAUUUGGAUUUGGAAGGUCAUGUCACCUUCAGAGUUGUGUGCCCUGGACAGCUCUGUAGUAAUGGUGGUUCAACUUUGUUGGUGAGUCUGUCUUGGCAGAGUUAGUUGACCUUUCUUAAAACAAGAGCCACGAAGUAAGUAUCUGUUGGGACUCUUAGGCUGCUAUUUCUGAGGAGCUGGGAGCUGUGUUCAAGUCAAGUUGCUUGUGUUAGACCUUAUAUUGAGGUUGAUGGGUUAGGUAAGCCUGCACAUAUGCAGUCUGCCCAUUUAUUCAUAGAAAUGGCCUUUAAUACUGUUUUUGGCCGGGCGCGGUAGCUCACACCUAUAAUCCCAGCACUUUGGGAGGCCAAGGUGGGAGGAUUGCCCAAGCCCAGGACCAGCCUUGGGACCAGGCUAUUAACAUAGGGAGACCCCAUCUUUACAAGACACAAAAAUUGCUGGAUGUGGUGGUACGUGCCUGUAGUCGCAGUUUACUUAGAAAGCUGAGGCAGGAGGAUUGCUUGAGCCCAGGAGGUUGAGGCUGUUGUAAGCCAUGAUUACGCCAGUGCACUCCAGCCUGGGCAAUGGAGCCAAGACCUUGUCUCAAAAAAAAAAAAAAAAUUUGUUUUUUAUUAGGUUACUAUGGCCAAGCAGCUAACAAAUGCUGCUCACCAAUGCUUAAUCCUUGUGGAGCCUCUGGAAUAUAGUGAUUUUGGUUUCUUUACCUGCUGGUCGAUCUGUGGUUGGGCCUUGGCACUUCACCGGUCAAGGAUCAUCAGUGGAUGCUUAACAGCUGAAGAUGCAUGGCAUGUCCAGUGCCAGGCCACUGUAAUGCUUCUACCUGGAGAAGGAUUGGUUACACUGCUCCAGUACAGAAGUACUGCAGACCUUUUUUUUUUUUUGAGAUGGAGUCUUACUUUGUCA
RNAcentral lists this long non-coding RNA (7624 nucleotides) under Homo sapiens (human). RNAcentral's name for it is "LHRI_LNC1884.1". Lineage: Eukaryota; Metazoa; Chordata; Mammalia; Primates; Hominidae. The record is from RNAcentral.